Molecule: non-coding RNA, 106 nt
Organism: Gossypium raimondii (Peruvian cotton)
Lineage: Eukaryota; Viridiplantae; Streptophyta; Magnoliopsida; Malvales; Malvaceae
Source: Rfam
AUUCUGUGAUGAGGGCAUCUUCGUAAUAGUUCUCUAAACCUCUCUCACGCCUCAUACAAGGACUUGUCAUCCAAAGUUGGAAGGUAGUGAUCUCAUUCCUUAACUU